GGGGAUGUGGGGUAACCUGGUAGCCUUCGAGCUUUGGGAGCUUGCGAUCUGAGUUCAAAUCUCAGCAUCCCCA
Molecule: transfer RNA, 73 nt
Filed under: Candidatus Pacearchaeota archaeon
Lineage: Archaea; Nanobdellati
Description: tRNA-Pro
Rfam family: tRNA
About the family: Transfer RNA (tRNA) molecules are approximately 80 nucleotides in length. Their secondary structure includes four short double-helical elements and three loops (D, anti-codon, and T loops). Further hydrogen bonds mediate the characteristic L-shaped molecular structure. tRNAs have two regions of fundamental functional importance: the anti-codon, which is responsible for specific mRNA codon recognition, and the 3' end, to which the tRNAs corresponding amino acid is attached (by aminoacyl-tRNA synthetases). tRNAs cope with the degeneracy of the genetic code in two manners: having more than one tRNA (with a specific anti-codon) for a particular amino acid; and 'wobble' base-pairing, i.e. permitting non-standard base-pairing at the 3rd anti-codon position.
Source: RNAcentral